AUACGUAGGGGGCGAGCGUUGUCCGGAAUGAUUGGGCGUAAAGGGCGCGUAGGCGGCCCGGUAAGUCUGGAGUGAAAGUCCUGUUUUUAAGAUGGGAAUUGCUUUGGAUACUGUCGGGCUUGAGUGCAGGAGAGGUAAGUGGAAUUCCCAGUGUAGCGGUGAAAUGCGUAGAGAUUGGGAGGAACACCAGUGGCGAAGGCGACUUUCUGGACUGUAACUGACGCUGAGGCGCGAAAGUGUGGGGAGCAAACAGGAUUAGAUACCCUGGUAGUCCACACUGUAAACGAUGAAUGCUAGGUGUAGGGGGUAUCGACCCCUUCUGUGCCGCAGUCAACACAAUAAGCAUUCCGCCUGGGGAGUACGGCCGCAAGGUUGAAACUCAAAGGAAUUGACGGGG
This 397-nucleotide ribosomal RNA is filed under the name uncultured bacterium. RNAcentral's name for it is "partial 16S ribosomal RNA". It matches the Rfam family "Bacterial small subunit ribosomal RNA", at positions 523 to 918 of the family's 1533-position model. The record is from RNAcentral.